This 363-nucleotide ribosomal RNA is filed under the name uncultured bacterium. RNAcentral describes it as "partial 16S ribosomal RNA". It matches the Rfam family "Bacterial small subunit ribosomal RNA", at positions 338 to 699 of the family's 1533-position model. The record is from RNAcentral.
CCUACGGGUGGCAGCAGUGAGGAAUAUUGGUCAAUGGCCGGAAGGCUGAACCAGCCAAGUCGCGUGAGGGACGACUGCCCUAUGGGUUGUAAAUAUCUUUUAUAAGGGAAGAAUAAAUGCUGCGUGUAGCAUGAUUCCUGUACCUUAUGCACAAGCAACGGCUAACUCAGUGCCGGCACACGCGGUAAUACGGUGGAUGCGAGUGUUAUCUGGAUUUAAUGGGUUUAAAGUGCGCGUAGGCGGUUUUGUAAGUUAGUGGUUAAACGUCGGGGCUUCCCCUUGAUUGGCCAUUAAUACUGUCAGACUCGAGUUCCGACGAGGUAGGCGGAAUAAGUUAAGUAGCGGUGAAAUGCUUAGAUAUAA